CACGUAGGGCGCAAGCGUUGUCCGGAAUUAUUGGGCGUAAAGAGCUCGUAGGCGGUCUGUUACGUCUGCUGUGAAAACCCGGGGCUUAACCCUGGGCUUGCAGUGGAUACGGGUAGACUAGAGGCAGGUAGGGGAGAAUGGAAUUCCCGGUGUAGCGGUGAAAUGCGCAGAUAUCGGGAGGAACACCGGUGGCGAAAGCAGCUCUCUGGGACGGUACUGACGCUGAGACGCGAAAGCGUGGGGAGCGAACAGG
RNAcentral lists this ribosomal RNA (253 nucleotides) under uncultured bacterium. Its description in RNAcentral is "partial 16S ribosomal RNA". It matches the Rfam family "Bacterial small subunit ribosomal RNA", at positions 524 to 776 of the family's 1533-position model. The record is from RNAcentral.